Molecule: ribosomal RNA, 397 nt
Filed under: uncultured bacterium
Lineage: Bacteria
Description: partial 16S ribosomal RNA
Rfam family: Bacterial small subunit ribosomal RNA
Source: RNAcentral
CUACGUAGGUGACAAGCGUUAUCCGGAUUUACUGGGCGUAAAGGGCGUGUAGGCGGUCUUGCAAGUCAGAAGUGAAAUUCCUGAGCUCAACUCGGGCGCUGCUUCUGAAACUGCAGGACUUGAGUGCUGGAGGGGAUAGCGGAAUUCCUAGUGGAGCGGUAAAAUGCGCAGAUAUUAGGAAGAACACCGGAGGCGAAGGCGGCUAUCUGGACAGAACCUGACGCUAGGGCGCGAAAGCGGGGGGAGCGAACAGGAUUAUAUACCCGGGUUGUCCACGCCGUAAACGAUGAAUACUAGUUGUAGGGGGUAUCGACUCCCUCUGUGCCGCAGUUAACACAAUAAGUAUUCCGCCUGGGGAGUACGGCCGCAAGGUGGAAACUCAAAUGAAUUGACGGGG